CCAUCUUCCUACCCCUGAGUGCACCGCUGUUCCACAUGACAAAACGAAACCUGUCGUGGAACGUAGGCGGAAAGCUGUUGCCUGCAAGAGGAGACCUGCAAAGCACCAGGUUGAGGCAACACCCAGUGUUGUGGAGGUGUGUCCC
Long non-coding RNA from Dicentrarchus labrax (European seabass), 145 nucleotides. RefSeq lists it as uncharacterized. The transcript is spliced from 3 exons. NCBI's taxonomy places the organism in Eukaryota, Metazoa, Chordata, Actinopteri, Moronidae. The record is from RefSeq and is a predicted model, not a curated record.